UACAGAGGUCUCAAGCGUUGUUCGGAUUCAUUGGGCGUAAAGGGUGUGUAGGUGGCGCCGUAAGUCGGGUGUGAAAUUUCGAGGCUUAACCUCGAAACUGCAUUCGAUACUGCGGUGCUUGAGGACUGGAGAGGAGACUGGAAUUCAUGGUGUAGCAGUGAAAUGCGUAGAUAUCAUGAGGAAGACCAGUGGCGAAGGCGGGUCUCUGGACAGUUCCUGACACUGAGGCACGAAGGCCAGGGGAGCAAACGGG
This 253-nucleotide ribosomal RNA is filed under the name uncultured bacterium. Its description in RNAcentral is "partial 16S ribosomal RNA". It matches the Rfam family "Bacterial small subunit ribosomal RNA", at positions 524 to 776 of the family's 1533-position model. The record is from RNAcentral.